Molecule: ribosomal RNA, 180 nt
Filed under: uncultured Glomeromycotina
Lineage: Eukaryota; Fungi; Glomeromycota
Description: partial small subunit ribosomal RNA
Rfam family: Eukaryotic small subunit ribosomal RNA (bases 73-180)
Source: RNAcentral
GCCUCACGGCAAGUACUGUGUGGGCUCGUGCUCCUGGGUGGUGAGCCGUCAUGUCGUUUACUCGGCGUGGCGGGGAACCACCUCUGUUACCUUGAGAAAAUUAGAGUGUUCAAAGCAGGCCUAUGCCCGAAUACAUUAGCAUGGAAUAAUGAAAUAGGGCUUCAGUUCUAUUUUGUUGGU